GACGAACGCUGGCGGCGUGCUUAACACAUGCAAGUCGAGCGGAAAGGCCCUUCGGGGUACUCGAGCGGCGAACGGGUGAGUAACACGUGGGUAACCUGCCCUUCACUCUGGGAUAACUCCGGGAAACCGGGGCUAAUACCGGAUACGACCACUUUAGGCAUCUUCGGUGGUGGAAAGUUUUUCGGUUGGAGGAUGGACCC
RNAcentral lists this ribosomal RNA (200 nucleotides) under uncultured bacterium. RNAcentral's name for it is "partial 16S ribosomal RNA". It matches the Rfam family "Bacterial small subunit ribosomal RNA", at positions 28 to 232 of the family's 1533-position model. The record is from RNAcentral.